AAAAUAUAAUCCGGCCGUGGUCUUCACUAUGGCAAUAAAGGUUGCUUAGAAUAGGCGUUUUGGACCCGAGGGCAGUGCUCGGCAUCUCCACUGUAUGUUGCGGGGAUGAAACAGGUUAGACAGGCGCAGUAAAGAAGUUAGCCGUUGCUCGGUGGGAAUUCCAGCCGUAUAAGUGGGUCAUUUUUAUAAGUGCAAACGAUAAUCUCGUUGCCGCUAAUGACAACUUUGACGCUAACGCUUUAGCAGCUGCAGCUUAAUGUGUCUUUAGCGCGGUUCGGGGGCUUACCGGGCAACAGAAAAGCCCCCACGUCUGUAUCCCGGUUCAUAUUAGCAAUAGCUUACCUAUAU
Molecule: transfer-messenger RNA, 348 nt
Filed under: Anaplasma platys
Lineage: Bacteria; Pseudomonadati; Pseudomonadota; Alphaproteobacteria; Rickettsiales; Anaplasmataceae
Description: transfer-messenger RNA, SsrA
Rfam family: Alphaproteobacteria transfer-messenger RNA (bases 5-309)
About the family: Bacterial tmRNA, also known as 10Sa RNA or SsrA, is named for its dual tRNA and mRNA-like properties. Its role is to liberate the mRNA from a stalled ribosome. To accomplish this part of the tmRNA is used as a reading frame that ends in a translation stop signal.
Source: RNAcentral